Molecule: long non-coding RNA, 1989 nt
Filed under: Capsicum annuum
Lineage: Eukaryota; Viridiplantae; Streptophyta; Magnoliopsida; Solanales; Solanaceae
Description: long non-coding RNA (CANN_LNC016200)
Source: RNAcentral
CCCAACCCCCAUGCAUUCUCAUAAAUAUUAUUACAACAUCGUUUGUGUUUAUACAAUAUUAGAUACCAAUAAAAAGAAGAAUCGACUAAACUAAAAGGGAAAAACAUAAUUCCUCUCAAAUUUUCGAGCAACUCUUCAAUUCCCUCAAACCUGUUAAACACCAUGGCAUAGCAUGGUAAGCACAAAGAGACUAACAAAAAUAUCAAGAUAUGAUUACAAACACAAAAUGACACAACAACGAUACAACACACAAAAGUUCAAGUAAUUCCUAGAGACAUGUUUUCUAGCAUCAUCAUAUAAGGUAUUAAAAUUACGUCGUCAGAAAACUUACUGGUUGAAGAUAGCAAAAAAUAAUAGAAAAACUAAAUAAUACCGAAUGUCAGACAUGAAUUGCCACGGAUAGAUUGAGACCAAAACUCUGAAGAUAGAAAUGCAACUCAGAAUAAGAAAAUUAAGUAACUUUGUUCUAUAUGAAAUAUAUAGUGUGUCAAAAGUAUAGAGAAUGUAAGAUGUUGUAGAGAAGAAGAAAUAUCAAUGUCUGUCUUUUGUAUAUAAGAGAGUAGAGAGGAUUAUCUCCGAUGUCCGUUAACAAAAAGAAGGGGGGAAUUUAUAUAGUGAAAAGUCAGGAAAAAAAAUGAAGGUAGAACAUUUCAAAAUCUUUAAAUUAAUAAAGUAAAUCAAAUAAUAUCGUAGAUUAUGUCCAAAUUACCAAAAAUAAUAAAGUGAAUCAAAUAAUAUCAUAAAUUAGGUAAAGAAUGUCAAAAAUAAAAUGAUGAUAAAGUUGUCCUAAUUAAAAACAAGGUAAGAAAAUCAAUCAAAAAGGAUCAUAGAGAAAUCAAUUAAAAUCACUUAAGUCAAUACUUACCAUAACAAUAAAAUUAUCCAACAAAAUACCACAAUAAUAGAGUUGUCCAGCACAAGUCAUGGAAAAAUUUGCCAUACAUGGUAGAAGAUUGCAAUAAAAGGGAAAAAUUAAUUUAUCACGUAAACAUUCUCUUAAUCGUACCAUAUUUAGAUGGCUAACACAGAAUCAGUCAAAACUAACCAUAUCCUAAAAAGUCUGCAAAAAUGUUGUUAUACUUAAUUUAAGCAAAGAUGAAGGCAAUAUGACAAACUUACCAUACUAACAUACAUUUUUUAAUUCUAUUUUAUAAUUCGGAAUGAAAAAUAGAGGUCAGGAAAACAAGUAUCAAAGCAGUCUAUGAUUACUAUUUUCAACAUGAAUUAUGAGAUUAGCAACAAACACUGCAAUAUUGGUUCAUAACACAGACAGAGAUAAAUCCAUAGUUAAAAACUGGGAUUUUUCACAUAUGUUAAUUCCAAGGUGUAAAUAAACAUGAAAUUAAGGAAAUAGAAUUAAGAUUCACAGUCAAAUAUCAUGAAUUCUGGAUGUAUGAAUAUAUCAAAGCAAAAAUAUGAAAUUUAAUGUGUUAAAGACAACAAACCGGACAAUAAUCGCAGUGGUGUUUGUCAAAAAAUUCGCCGGUCAUUAACUUCAGUGAGAGAUUGAUGAUAAAUAGACAGUAGGAAAUGGAGAAGGGUUAUUCGUCGAUCGGGAGAGAAGAGUAAAACAGUGAUGGUUGUUAUGGCGGCUCCAUCGGCUGCUGUUGUUGGUGGCGUUUAGAUCUGGUUUUAUUUACUUUUCAUGGGCCAAGAUGAUGGAGCGAUGGCGAUGGCAUAGAGGCACGACGGCUCGGAAAGAUACUGAGCGGUCGCUGGCUGCUUCACCAGCUGGAGUUUCUGGUUUGCGAAAGUGAUGGGCUCUACCAUCUGGUGGCGUGAGGGCUGCGAUAGAGAGAAAAUAGAGGCACGUUGAUGGAUUGUUUUGCUGGAAAGGGGAAGAGGGAGAGGGGGCCAGCUAGCGACGGCUGGAUUGACUGGUGGCUGGUGAGGAGAUCGCCGGUGGGGGCGGCUGAUUGAUGUUGUCAUUGGUUUCACGUAGAGAGAUAAAGGAAGAAAAGAGAGAUAAUUUUGUAUGGCUGUUUUUUG